UGGGGAAUAUUGGACAAUGGGGGCAACCCUGAUCCAGCAAUGCCGCGUGUGUGAAGAAGGUCUUCGGAUUGUAAAGCACUUUCGACGGGGACGAUGAUGACGGUACCCGUAGAAGAAGCCACGGCUAACUUCGUGCCAGCAGCCGCGGUAAUACGAAGGGGGCUAGCGUUGCUCGGAAUGACUGGGCGUAAAGGGCGUGUAGGCGGUUUGUACAGUCAGAUGUGAAAUCCCCGGGCUUAACCUGGGAGCUGCAUUUGAUACGUGCAGACUAGAGUGUGAGAGAGGGUUGUGGAAUUCCCAGUGUAGAGGUGAAAUUCGUAGAUAUUGGGAAGAACACCGGUGGCGAAGGCGGCAACCUGGCUCAUUACUGACGCUGAGGCGCGAAAGCGUGGGGAGCAAACAGG
RNAcentral lists this ribosomal RNA (404 nucleotides) under Acidobacteriota bacterium. Its description in RNAcentral is "Acidobacteria bacterium partial 16S ribosomal RNA". It matches the Rfam family "Bacterial small subunit ribosomal RNA", at positions 355 to 776 of the family's 1533-position model. Lineage: Bacteria; Pseudomonadati; Acidobacteriota. The record is from RNAcentral.